Molecule: long non-coding RNA, 363 nt
Filed under: Mytilus galloprovincialis (Mediterranean mussel)
Lineage: Eukaryota; Metazoa; Mollusca; Bivalvia; Mytilida; Mytilidae
Source: RNAcentral
UGUGAAGCUAUAUUUGGACCCGACGAUGUUCGUCACUUUAGACAGACAGGUUUCUGAUUAAACAAGUAUUUUACGCAUUCAGUCAACAAAACACACGUAUAGGAAACAAUAAUGAAUUUGUGCUGACUAUAUCAGAAAUACACAGAUACAAGGAAAAAAGUGGUGAAAAAAUAUAGGUACAGGGGCAUCAAUACUGGAUAAUGCCAUCUACGUUCAGAAAAACACAACAAAGGUAAAUAGAAAACAAUGUUGGAUAACACUCUUUGCACAAAAAGAAGCAAGAUGUGUAUCAUCAUUUACUAAGAAGUGUUGUUUUGGUUCUGAAUUGAGGAUGCGUUGGUUCUUAAUGAUGACAUUAACGUG